CAUUUCUAAAAGAUGUCUCACACCACCAACUUUAUAUAAAGGCUUCGUUUUUUUUUGGAAAGCUAGCCACAAAAGGUGCGAGUGUCGACGUGAAGAGGAUUAAAAACUAAAGCAGAAAUAAAGACUAUUCUUUGAGUUUAGGUGCAGAAGGGGACAUUAUGGGCGUUGGCACUAUUUUAGUGCUGCUAGUGGCUAUGGCGAUUUGUACGCCUUCUGGAGCACAAAUUUGUAGCAUCAGUGAUGGGCUGACAGUGGCAUCGACAGCGAUUGUGUCACUUGUGGCGACUUUGGACGAAGCUUUUGUAGCGCAGUUGAAGAAUAAAAGCAGUGCCGAAUACAAAAAACUUGAAACGCAAGUGCAAACCAUGUGCGACUUGAUCUUCAUCCAAGCAUUUAGAGCUAAUUUCAUCAACACCACUGUUGUUGGAUUUAGUCCACAGAUGGGAAACACGACAGUAGAGGUGGUGUUGGAGUUCAGCAAUACAUCGUCUUAUCCAAUCCCAGAAGACGACCUCGUGGUAGAAAGGUUCGUACAGAUGGCAAAUAACUCCUGCAACCCCUUCAGACUCGCUGUGGACCCAAAAUCAAUCGCAGUAAUUCCAUCAACCACCACACGAGGACCACUGACAACAACUUACAAGCCAACAACAUUUCAUAUGAUUUCAACCAGAAAGGUCGAUAAAACAACAAAGACAAUGACCUCAGUUCCCUCACCAGUUGUGCCUGUCGAAGCGCUUUUGGAGGAACUUUUUGUGACAGAAUUUAAUGAUCCCAACAGUGAACAAUACCAAACUCUUCAAACACAAGUGGUA
This is a long non-coding RNA of Dunckerocampus dactyliophorus (ringed pipefish), 812 nucleotides long. RefSeq lists it as uncharacterized. The record is from RefSeq and is a predicted model, not a curated record. The transcript is spliced from 6 exons. Lineage: Eukaryota; Metazoa; Chordata; Actinopteri; Syngnathiformes; Syngnathidae.